RNAcentral lists this ribosomal RNA (599 nucleotides) under uncultured marine eukaryote. Its description in RNAcentral is "SSU rRNA". It matches the Rfam family "Eukaryotic small subunit ribosomal RNA", at positions 618 to 1220 of the family's 1831-position model. The record is from RNAcentral.
GUUAAAAAGCUCGUAGUUGGAUUUCUGUUGAGGAUGACCGGUCCGCUCUUUGAGCGCGUAUCUGGUUCAGCCUUGGCAUCCUCUUGGGGAACGCUACUGUGCUUGAUUGCAUGGGGCGGUAUUCAAGACUUUUACUUUGAGGAAAUUAGAGUGUUCACUGCAAGCGUUAGCAAUUGAAUACAUUAGCAUGGAAUAAUAAUAUAGGACCUUGGUACUAUUUUGUUGGUUUCUAGAACUAAGGUAAUGAUUAAUAGGGACAAUUGGGGGCAUUCGUAUUAACGCGUCAGAGGUGGAAUUCUUAGAUUGCGUUACGACGAACUACUGCGAAAGCAUUUGCCAAGGAUGUUUUCAUUGAUCAAGAACGAAAGUAUGGGGAUCGAAGACGCUUAGAUACCGUCGUAGUCUAUACCAUAAACUAUGCCAACUAGAGAUUGGAGGUCGUUCUCUUUAUGACUCCUUCAGCACCUUAUGAGAAAUCAAAGUCUUUGGGUUCCGGGGGGAGUAUGGUCGCAAAGCUGAAACUUAAAAGAAUUGACGGAAGGGCACCACCAGGAGUGGAGCUUGCGGCUUAAUUUGACUCAACACGGGAAAACUUACCA